This 26-nucleotide non-coding RNA is filed under the name Drosophila melanogaster (fruit fly). The record is from RNAcentral. Lineage: Eukaryota; Metazoa; Arthropoda; Insecta; Diptera; Drosophilidae.
UCCGUGGGAUCGCCUGAAGCCAAACU